RNAcentral lists this long non-coding RNA (1947 nucleotides) under Daphnia pulex (common water flea). RNAcentral describes it as "uncharacterized LOC124190918, transcript variant X17". Lineage: Eukaryota; Metazoa; Arthropoda; Branchiopoda; Diplostraca; Daphniidae. The record is from RNAcentral.
AAUUCGUCAUACUCAAUGAAUGAAGUGACAACCACGUUUGAAAUCACUUGAACAUCGGCAAUGAGACAAUCAAGGUCUACUGCAUCUAAAGUUAAAAUUGUUUUUGAGACUUGUUAAAUGUUACAUUCUGUUAAUUUCGUUAAGUUAAUUGAAGGGUGCGCAAGUUUUAUUUAUCAUAUUUAAGUAUGCUUGAUUUCUACGUGAUUCACAUUGUUUCCUAUUAUAUCACCGCCAUGCUUCCUAAACGUGAUGAUUCAGUUGUGGGAGAUGUAACUUCAUGAAACAAGCUCUGGAGAUUUGCCAUGGUUGUGCGUCAACCUGUCUCAUGCUGUGAAGAAAAAUGUAGAGGAUUGCCUUUUUUGUUGGUGCUGGGAUGUUGGAUGACAGUUGUUUGCGGCUUGAUUUCCUGGACUUCAUUCUGUGGAGGCUUGUGUGACCGGAUGGUGGCUUUGCAGUUGAUGUGAUCGUGCGUCUUUCAGAUGAUGGUGUGCAGCUUUUGAUUCUACGAAGUAGAAAUUUUUGAGUUUUACUUAACCGUAUUAUGCCGCCGCGGGAAAAUUAGGGAGGUUGCGGUGUGGUGCGAUCUGUCACUGGCUUUGCUAAGGCGGAUCUUCUCAGAAUUUCCUUUUGGUGUUGACCAGUGAAUAUUUGUCAUCUAGCUGGUUACCCUAGAACUGGGAGAUGAGACUGGAAAAUUGAAGGAGAUGUACAACAAAGGCACAAAGGCUCCAAUAAGAUGAGGUUGCUUGGGGUUUCCUGUGAGAUUUCUUUAUUAUGUGAAGGUUCUUUUUGGAUAUGUAGCCUGGCGGACUUUAUCAUAUCCAUUAGCCCAGGGUAUUGCUGCUGCAAUUUAGACAGAUUUCACAGUUCAGGUGCCAAGAAUUAAGAAUAAGAGGUUGCUUUGGAGUUUACUGUGCAUCUUCUGUAUGAUGUGAAGGUAUGUUUUGUACUCAUUCAAGCAGGGUUCUGUGUUGAUUUAAAGUGAUGACAUAAGAUUUCUGUGUCCAGGCCAAUGAUCAUUUAUGAUAUAAACUAUUUUGGUGACUACUGAUUUUUGUAUAUUGGAAAGACUAGUAGCCAUCUUCUGCACAAUAUCAACUGUUUCUAUUUGGGUGUUUGGUUGUUUUUGGGUAAUAGCCUGGUCGACUUCAACCCACAGGAGCUGCUGGACGAACAGGCUAGUAUGUUGCUGCUGCAAAUAUUCUGGUAUGUAUAGUUACAAUUUAUUCGUCGAUUUACCCAUGACGAUAUCAUAUUUCCAGAGAUACAAUGGUGGUACAAACUGAUUUAUUGAGACUGAGGAAACUACACUUGACAAAAUACGAGGAUUUUUGUGUAACGGGUUUUAAGCGAUGUUUUUACUUUUUUUCAGUCGGCCGUGCAUCUCUAGUACUACUGCUACUGCCAAAUUGCAAGCGAUAUCGUCUUUUUAAAGGCUAGAAACAGGAUGUCUCAGUGAUUCAACUCUCGGUUUUCUGGAAUCCCCUUUAUCCUUAGCAGGUCGUACCUAGCUGUCGUGACAUAGUUGGAAGUUAACGAUUAGGUCAAUACUUCGCAGCUUCAUCUGUCACUACCUUACAGCGUGACCUGCAUAUACGCGUGGAAUGCAUUCAGGUUGGUAGAAGUUUGUUGGUAUACCCCACUAAUUAAGCCGAUUGAUUAAGUCCUUAACUGGCUAUUCUUUGGUAUACGGUGGGAACAGUAAAUGCUAAUCCGUGUAAGGUCUUCUACCCAAUUGCUUGGUGGGUUAUUUAAGGGUUGAAUCAGCAAUAUUAUAAUAAUAAGCUUAUUGUUAUUUUUCGUAUUUUUGUUUAAAGUUCUUCGGAGAUUGAUAUUCUUUCUUGGGAUGUGGUCUGAGCCUGUGAGCCGCAAUCUAGUUCACGCUUGGAUACCAUUCCAUCGAUCUCUUGAAGUAAAACUUGAAAAUCACAUAAUUGACAUAGUUAA